GUUCUCUCUACAGUCAGAGCUCGCGAAAGAAGGUGGAAGAAAGCAACCAUGUAAUGCCUCAGGAGUCUGUAGAGGGGACGAAGACGCGUUCUGCUGCACUUAACAGAGCUCAAGACCAACGGGACGCCAUCAGGACGCCAUCAGGACGCCACGUCAACGGGACGCCAUCAGGACGCCACGUCAACGGGACGCCAUCAGGACCUCACGUCAACCCCUCAGGAGCAAAUCCAGAUCUACGCAUGACACACACACACACACCCCCACACACACACACACAGAUGUACACACAGACACACUAACAUUUGGUUCUAAACAAAGACACACACUAACAUUUAGAUGUACACAAAGACACAUUAAUAUUUAGAUGUACACACAGACACACUAACAAUUAGAUGUACACACAGACACACUAUCAUUUGGUUCUAAACAAAGACACACACUAAUAUUUAGAUGUACACACAGACACACUAACAAUUAGAUGUACACACAGACACAUCCUGAUGAUCCUCCUCACGUCUCUUCUCCUUGUCUGCAGACCAACAGGACGCCAUCAGGACGCCAUCAGGACGCCACGUCAUCGGGACGCCAUCAGGAAACCACGUCAUCGGGACGCCAUCAGGACGCCAUCAGGACACCUCGUCAACCCCUCAGGAGCAAAUCCAGAUCUACUCAUGACACACACACACACACACACACACACACACACACACACAGAUGUACUCACAGACACACUAACAUUUGGUUCUAAACAAAGACACACACUAAUAUUUAGAUGUACACAAAGACACAUUAAUAUUUAGAUGUACACACAGACACACUAACAAUUAGAUGUACACACAUACACACUAUCAUUUGGUUCUAAACAAAGACACACACUAAUAUUUAGAUGUACACAAAGACAUAUUAAUAUUUAGAUGUACAAACAGACACACUAACAUUUAGAUGUACACACAGACACACUAACAAUUAGAUGUACACACAGACACACUAACAUUUGGUUCUACACAAAGACACACACUGACAUUUAGAUGUACACAAAGACACAAUAACAAUUAGAUGUACACACAGACACAUUAGUAUUCAGAAUUACACAAAAACACACAAACAUCUGGUUCUGCACAAAAACACAUUAAUAUUUAAAUGUACCCACGGACCCACUAACAAUUAGAUCCACACACAGACACACUAACAAUUAGAUGUACACACGGACACAUCCUGAUGAUCCUCCUCACGUCUCUUCUCCUUGUCUGCAGACCAACAGGACGCCAUCAGGACGCCACGUCAUCGGGACGCUACGUCAUCGGGACACACUAACAAUUAGAUGUACACACAGACACACUAACAUUUGGUUCUAAACAAAGACACACUAACAUUUAGAUGUACAAAAAGACACACACUAAUAUUUAGAUGUACACAAAGACACACACUAAUAUUUAGAUGUACACAAAGACACACUAACAAUUAGAUGUACACACAGACACACUAACAACAUUAAUAUGUAAAUAACUUUUCUUCUUUUCUCUCUUCUCAGGAACUGCUUCAGAUGUUUUCCCAAUGAUUGUGUUAUUAUAAUUGUUAAAUAUGUCGUCUGUUUAUUAUUUUAACAAUGAAAAUAAAUUUUAAUAAAAAUAAAACCAAAUGAA
Molecule: long non-coding RNA, 1643 nt
Organism: Gasterosteus aculeatus aculeatus (three-spined stickleback)
Lineage: Eukaryota; Metazoa; Chordata; Actinopteri; Perciformes; Gasterosteidae
Source: Ensembl